UAGAUUGCUGAGACAGAGAGCCAAUCCGCUCCAUCCAGACAUCCCAGCGAGCUUCAGCCGUCCGGCCCAAACUCUCCGACAAGUCAUGACAACAGACAUCACUCCACUCUCUGUAAUAGAUUCCAUGUGGCCCCACCACUCUCUGGCAAGUCGCGACAAUGGACACCACUCCACUCUCCAUAACAAACUCUAUGUGGCCC
RNAcentral lists this long non-coding RNA (200 nucleotides) under Elaeis guineensis (African oil palm). RNAcentral's name for it is "long non-coding RNA (EGUI_LNC070293)". The record is from RNAcentral. Lineage: Eukaryota; Viridiplantae; Streptophyta; Magnoliopsida; Arecales; Arecaceae.